This 1256-nucleotide ribosomal RNA is filed under the name Salmonella enterica. Its description in RNAcentral is "partial 23S ribosomal RNA". It matches the Rfam family "Bacterial large subunit ribosomal RNA", at positions 1 to 1187 of the family's 2925-position model. The record is from RNAcentral. Lineage: Bacteria; Pseudomonadati; Pseudomonadota; Gammaproteobacteria; Enterobacterales; Enterobacteriaceae.
GGGUUGUGAGGUUAAGCGACUAAGCGUACACGGUGGAUGCCCUGGCAGUCAGAGGCGAUGAAGGGCGUGCUAAUCUGCGAUAAGCGCCGGUAAGGUGAUAUGAACCGUUAUAACCGGCGAUACCCGAAUGGGGAAACCCAGUGUGACUCGUCACACUAUCAUUAACUGAAUCCAUAGGUUAAUGAGGCGAACCGGGGGAACUGAAACAUCUAAGUACCCCGAGGAAAAGAAAUCAACCGAGAUUCCCCCAGUAGCGGCGAGCGAACGGGGAGGAGCCCAGAGCCUGAAUCAGCAUGUGUGUUAGUGGAAGCGUCUGGAAAGUCGCGCGAUACAGGGUGACAGCCCCGUACACAAAAGCGCAUGUGUUGUGAGCUCGAUGAGUAGGGCGGGACACGUGGUAUCCUGUCUGAAUAUGGGGGGACCAUCCUCCAAGGCUAAAUACUCCUGACUGACCGAUAGUGAACCAGUACCGUGAGGGAAAGGCGAAAAGAACCCCGGCGAGGGGAGUGAAAAAGAACCUGAAACCGUGUACGUACAAGCAGUGGGAGCCCCACCACCAAAGCAUUCUCUGGUGUUGAAGGCCCUGCAAAGCAGCAUCGCGGUGGCGGAGCGUCGUUUGCGACGCCCAACACAAAAAACAAGCGGUGAGUGCUUUGGGGUGGGGUGACUGCGUACCUUUUGUAUAAUGGGUCAGCGACUUAUAUUCUGUAGCAAGGUUAACCGAAUAGGGGAGCCGUAGGGAAACCGAGUCUUAACUGGGCGUUAAGUUGCAGGGUAUAGACCCGAAACCCGGUGAUCUAGCCAUGGGCAGGUUGAAGGUUGGGUAACACUAACUGGAGGACCGAACCGACUAAUGUUGAAAAAUUAGCGGAUGACCUGUGGCUGGGGGUGAAAGGCCAAUCAAACCGGGAGAUAGCUGGUUCUCCCCGAAAGCUAUUUAGGUAGCGCCUCGUGAAUUCAUCUCCGGGGGUAGAGCACUGUUUCGGCUAGGGGGCCAUCCCGGCUUACCAACCCGAUGCAAACUGCGAAUACCGGAGAAUGUUAUCACGGGAGACACACGGCGGGUGCUAACGUCCGUCGUAAAGAGGGAAACAACCCAGACCGCCAGCUAAGGUCCCAAAGUCAUGGUUAAGUGGGAAACGAUGUGGGAAGGCCCAGACAGCCAGGAUGUUGGCUUAGAAGCAGCCAUCAUUUAAAGAAAGCGUAAUAGCUCACUGGUCGAGUCGGCCUGCGCGGAAGAUGUAACGGGGCUAAAC